GAAGCCUUAACUCCACAUGCCAAUAGGAAGUGACCAGAAGGAAAAGGAGGCAGGAAGUUAUCAGCUGCAAUUCUGCCACCUGGGAGCACGGGUUUCAUUCAGCUAUAAAACCUACUUUGGGUAAUCUCUCGGCAAGUCUUUCUGAAGAAAGUUCCAGGCAGCGACCCUGCUCACUCCAUCCUGGGAAGUCUCUGGGGUCCCCUAGAGUCCCCAGUAUCACGCUUUUUCGCUGCUGGAGCAUUUGUUUUAAGAGAUUCUGCGUGCUGCCCAGAAGUGAGCUGGACCUUCAUUCGUGUGUAUGUUCAUUCAUUCCCACAUUUAACAGGUUUGGGUUUCAUCGAGGGGACCCAGGCAACAAGAAAACUCUCUUGGACAGGAGCAUGGCAGGUCAAGGUUAGCUCAUGGACAUAAAGGUCAUCUGAUUGCAGCAUCCAUCACAUCAGAGUUGGUACCGGUGACCUCCUCUUCUCAAGGUCCCUUCCUCACUGAAGCUUCCCAAGCUUUCCUCCUGAAACUGAGCAUGCAGUAAAAGCACAGUCUAAAACAAGAGGGUCGCUAUUUGGUCAAGAAUGUUUAAGCAACUCUGCAACUCCACUAGAAUGCUAAUAGGCUAAUUUUGAUUUCACGCCCAGAAUCAUUCAGUUAACCCAACUGCACUGGACUGAUAGAGCGGAAGCAGAAGCCAAGACAGCAGGAAAAGGACUGGGAGUCAGAUAAUACAUCUUGGUUCAGUCCCAGCCCUGUUGACUUAUGGUAUCGACCUUUCUGAUCUCUGCUUCCUUAUCCUGAGAAUGGAUCAGCCACUGCAACUCAGGAAAGAGGUCAAGCCUGAAAACCACUGGCAGGGGUCCACAAUCUAUUUAUAAAAAUCCAGAAAGCCACCUCAUGAACUUCACCUUGAAUGGGCUUUUUCUACCUUCGUGGUGAGUCUCGUGUUUGAUGGUGAGCCCCUUGAGGACGUGUCUCCUGGCUGGGUUGUAAUCAUCCACACCACCCGCAUUUUGCCUCAUGUUUAGAAUAACAAACUCACAGAACCUCAGAAAAGCCUGAAGCCAUCAAUCACCAAUCAGAUCCUUCACACUUUACAAUAUUCUUGUCCAAUGAUCAACGUGGCGGUUAAUUUUACAUGUCAACUCGGCUAGACCCUGGUACCAGUUUUGGCCAAAUAUCAGUCUAGAUGUUACUGUGAAUGUAGCGUUUAAGUGAGAUUAGCAUUAAGCCAGUUGACUUUGAAUAAAGCAGUAAUAAUCUGAGUAGGCUUCA
This 1263-nucleotide long non-coding RNA is filed under the name Sus scrofa (pig). RNAcentral describes it as "lncRNA (ENSSSCG00070014815.1)". The record is from RNAcentral. Lineage: Eukaryota; Metazoa; Chordata; Mammalia; Artiodactyla; Suidae.